RNAcentral lists this long non-coding RNA (1468 nucleotides) under Vulpes vulpes (red fox). RNAcentral's name for it is "lncRNA (ENSVVUG00000017019.1)". Lineage: Eukaryota; Metazoa; Chordata; Mammalia; Carnivora; Canidae. The record is from RNAcentral.
GUCCAGUACUGGUAAUGUCACUUAAUUGCUGUGUGAUUGCUUAAUCUUAAGCAAGUUUUUUUUUUUUUUCUUUUAAUCCUCUAGGCCUCAAGUUCCUCAUCUGUAUAAUGAAAAGAUGAUAAAACUUCAUAGAGUUGUUCUGAAGAUGAAAUGAGACAAUAUCUAUGAAAUACUAGGAAGAGAUUGGGCCAGUAGAGACUUUUGAUUAAUAUUAGUCAUUAUUAGCAUCAUCACAAUUACUUUAAGUUUCAACAUUAUCUUUAUUAUUUUUAGUGUGAAUAAUGAAGAUAAUAAUAAUAGUCUUAACAGGGAAAAUUUCCCUAGACAUUUGUUGGGAAAGAUGGCUAAGAGAGGAAGUCUGAAUUUUGUGCCUGGUCCCUGCCAGCUCCAUGAUGUGUUUGAGACUGUGACUCAGGACAGGAAUAGGCUCAGAGUGCUCCUUGGUGUCACCCACCGGCCACUAUCAGGUCCUGUGCUUCGUGUAUACUUUCGAAGCAGGAUUCAGAGCUUUGCAGGACACUCUUUGUAGAUGGAACAUACAGGUGAAGAAGGGGAUCCUGAAUCUGGAAGGAGACUAUCUCAAAGAACAAAGAGACUGUCUACUAAAAUGUGUCCAGGGAGGUUUGGGAAGUUCGAGCAAGUUGACCAUUGUUGAGUCCAAGAGGUAGGGCUGGAAUGGUUUAUUUGGAAAAGUUGACAUUUUUACCAGUUAUAAGGUAAUCUCUCUGCAGAAAGGCUGAAUUAUAAAGAGAAUGAAAAAGACUGAAAGAAUUCAUUUCUUUUUUCUCAAGAGAAAAAAAAAAGGAAUGUGAAUAAGUACUAUGAAAUAGCAUUAACUAGUUGAUUACAACUAUGUUGCCUGAGGAGUGGGAUGGAACAGUAAGCUUUGACGAUUUGCUUGACAUUCUACUUGAACUAUAUCCUUUCCUCCUCAGUCUUACUCCCUUUCUGUGUGUGUUUGUGUGUGUGUGUCCCUCUCUUUCUCUCUGUUUCUCCUUUAAAUUUAGUUAAUACCUUCUGGGUGGCUGCUAUGUGCAAAAUACCAUGUUCGGCCCAUUGGUCACAAUGAAGAGCAGAAUGGCACACCACCCCUGGCCAGCUCAGAAAUUGUGGUAACAGGAAAGAGUACGUAUUUUUCACUGCAACUUAACUAAUUGGGAUUCUGAUUUAUGCAUCAUUUUCAGAUGAUUCUCUUAAUGUGAGUCUCCAAGAGAUUGAUUAUCCAGAUAUAUGGACCGAAUUGAGUUUUGACUCAGCUGAGAGCCAAGCCACCGUCCCUGGAGACCCAUGGAAGACACUCUCACCCUAGGCAUCGCCUCUGGGUGCUCAGGGGGCCUCUCUGAGAACUCUAGCCCAUUCUUAUUACUUUCAGCAGGAGAGUGCAGUUCUUACACCAAGUCAUAAAUACCACCCUCAUUGAAAAGUAUGAAAAAAUAAAUGUUGACUUUUGCUUUUGCUUUUAAUGGCA